RNAcentral lists this long non-coding RNA (857 nucleotides) under Musa acuminata (dwarf banana). RNAcentral describes it as "long non-coding RNA (MACU_LNC002245)". The record is from RNAcentral. Lineage: Eukaryota; Viridiplantae; Streptophyta; Magnoliopsida; Zingiberales; Musaceae.
AUUCCCACACACACACACACAGCGCAAGAAACCCUUUCGAGUUCGAAUCAAGGAGAAGAUGGAAGCUGGUACGAGGCUCCUUUCUCCAUCACCUCCGCCCAAGCAAGCAAGAACAUACAUUAGGAAUCCUUCCUUCGGUUCAGGUUCGCAGCAAUUCCUUCUUCUUUUUGUUACUCUGUACUCAUGUCUUGGAUUCAAAUCCUGUUUCUUGUGUCCUUGUGCAAUUUGUUCUCUACGCAUGCUUAUUUACUUAAUCUACAGGCAUUAUCACAUGGUGAUCGUAUUUUGAGUUGCUUCUGAGAGUGUGAAAUCUACAGGCCGCUGUUUGCUUUAGGCAAAUUUGGAGAACAUUAUCAUCUUUCCAGACUCAUUGUCUAAUUGUGAUGCAGUUGCGAGGCUACAUGAUCAAGCUGUUCGGACAAUUAGAUCUGUGCCUGCUGCAUCGGUUGUGCGUCCUGUUUCGGCAUCAACUCUUUCAAAGGACCAACAGGAUGAUCGUAGAGCUAGUUUUAACAAGGAUGAAAAUAGAGCAACAGUGAGCAUCUUUUGCCCCUUUUGGAUCUCUAUGCAUUUUUUGCUUCUGCCUUUUCUGAGAAUAUGUUGUAUGCUUUUUCUAUAACAACUUUGCUAUCUGUCAUAGUUCGCAAUCUUUAGAAGACUACUGUCAAUUAGAAUUUUGGCAGAUCUUUUUUGAUAAGCAUAAGCUAUGCUUUAUAAAUAAACUGUGAAUAGCAUGCAUUUGUAUAUUAAUGCUAUUCAUUUGUAUAUAUGAAGGCAACACUGUUUAAACAGCUAACGGAUGUUGGAAGUUCAGAUAACAAAGAGAAGGAAGAGUAUGAUUUUGACCGACAUNNNNN